ACUCAAAGGAAUUGACGGGGGCCCGCACAAGCAGCGGAGCGUGUGGUUUAAUUCGAGGCUACACGAAGAACCUUACCUAGACUUGACAUGGGAUAGAACGAGGGUGAAAGCCCGAGGUUCGCAAGACUGUUCCACAGGUGCUGCAUGGCUGUCGUCAGCUCGUGUCGUGAGAUGUUAGGUUAAGUCCUGUAACGAGCGCAACCCCCGGUGGUAGUUACAAGGUGUCUACCGCUACUGCCUGCGUAAGUGGGAGGAAGGUGGGGAUGAUGUCAAGUCAGCAUGGCCUUUAUGUCUAGGGCUACACACACGCUACAAUGGCCGGUACAACAGGUUGCCAAGCGGUAACGCGGAGCAAAUCCUCACGAAAGCCGGUCUCAGUUCAGAUUGUGGGCUGCAACCCGCCCACAUGAAGUCGGAGUUGCUAGUAACCGCGCGUCAGCCAUAGUGCGGUGAAUACGUUCCCGGGCCUUGUACACACCGCCCGU
Molecule: ribosomal RNA, 485 nt
Filed under: uncultured bacterium
Lineage: Bacteria
Description: partial 16S ribosomal RNA
Rfam family: Bacterial small subunit ribosomal RNA
Source: RNAcentral